AUGGCUUCGAACACGAGCUUGCUGGCCGUGAUCAUGGCGUGCACGCUCCUACUCACCGGGCACACGUGCCACGGCGCACGCCACUUGGCCGACACGACUCCGGCGGCUGCCCCUGCCGCUGCUGUACCUAGCAUGCCUGCCGUGCCGACCCUGCCUGCCGUGCCCACUGAAACGGUCACCCUGCUGCCACCAAUGCCGGCGGUCACCCUGCCCACCGUGCCGCAAGUGACACUGCCGCCUAUGCCGGCUGUGCCUGUUCCCACGGUGCCAGCUGUGACCGUGCCACCUAUGUCAACCAUGCCCACCGUGCCGCAGAUGCCUUCCAUUGUCGUGCCAAAGUUGACCAUGCCGCCGAUGCCCGCAAUUGUUGUGCCGAAGAUCGUGCCCAAGGUGACUCUGCCGCCGAUGCCGUUUGUCCCGAACGUGAACGUGCCUGUGCCAUUCCUGGCGCCGCCACCGUCUGUGUAG
This 468-nucleotide ribosomal RNA is filed under the name Triticum aestivum (bread wheat). Its description in RNAcentral is "partial small subunit ribosomal RNA". Lineage: Eukaryota; Viridiplantae; Streptophyta; Magnoliopsida; Poales; Poaceae. The record is from RNAcentral.